AAAAAUUUUCAUAAAACCACAACAAUCGAUUGUCUGGUUUUGACAAUCGAUUGUCAUGGUCCGGUAACUUAAAAUUUUUUUCAUAAAACCAAACAAUCGAUUGUCUGGCUUUGACAAUCGAUUGUCUGGCUUUGACAAUCGAUUGUGGAUGGUCCAGUAACUUAAAAAAACUUUUUCAGAAAACCAAACAAUCGAUUGUCUGGUUUUGACAAUCGAUUGUGUUG
RNAcentral lists this long non-coding RNA (224 nucleotides) under Nicotiana benthamiana. RNAcentral describes it as "long non-coding RNA (NBEN_LNC000992)". The record is from RNAcentral. Lineage: Eukaryota; Viridiplantae; Streptophyta; Magnoliopsida; Solanales; Solanaceae.